AUGAAGCUAGCCAACUCACCUCCACAAGGCUCCCCCGAUUGCAGCUUCGUUGGCCGUUGGAUCUGGUCAUCUAGAGUGUCUGAGCCGCAAGAUCUUUGCCUGCUGUCAAACCUGAUUUCACCUUGUGGUUGUUCUGGCUGUCCAAUGACUGAUGGGCAUCCUCCACACCUCAACUUCCUCCCUCGCUCCGCCCCAACCCUAGCCGCCACACCUCUGCUUCCUCCCUUGCUCGACGCCAUAGGCACCGCAGCCCCUACCUCCUUCCUGCUCGUCCGGAUAGCCGCCGUCCGCCGCAUCCUUUCUCCUCCUUCCUCCUCCCUGGUCCCCGCUGGCGCCCCUCGCCCUCGUCCUCGGACAGGGGGCCUCCCGCAUGGACGGCCGGGUCUUCAAACCGGGGGUAGAGGAGCUGGGGAGGGCCAAGAGGCCGUAGGUGGGGGUGGAUCAGCUAGGCCGGAGACCUCUGAUUGCUUAGGCCCCAUGGCAGCAGCUGGAUUGGGGCGGCGGCGGAAGGCCAUGGAGGGUGUGGCGCAUGCGGGCGGAACCAACAUGGGUUGGUGGAGCGACGGAUGCGGGCAGGGUCAGCAGUUAGGGGCACUGCGAGGAGUGGAAGGCAGUGGUCAUGCGCCAGAUCGGAGCUGCAGCAGCAAGGAGCUGGUGGUGGUUCAGGUUUGCCUGUAUGGCCGUCAACUCCAGCCCCGACCCGGACAGUGCCAUGGGUCCGGCGAAGUGGUCCACGCUGAGGAAGAGGGAAACAACACAGGGAAGAAGCCGGCGUUCUUGUGUUCCAUGUGUAACCAUCAGAUGCCAUUGCUCUUUUAUUUAAUUGAAUGCAGACUAGCCCUGCCAACGCACCGGCGAGCCAAAAAAUUGGCGCAGCUUUUCGCCGCCCGCGUCUCGCCCGCUGUUGGCAGAAAAAAUGAACUGCAGAUGCGACGGGAGCAUUGGCGCGCCAAAACAUGGGCUGCAAUCCAAGCGGCGCCUUGGCACUUGGCACAUACCCUUGAUGGGCCAUGCAUUUCACUGCUUUCUGCAUUCCUGGACUGUAAGAAUCUUGCGGAGGUUUAUGUGAUUGGCGGGGAUGGAACAAUGAGAGGAGUAGUGGCGAUAUUCGAAGAGUUUAAACGGUGUGAUUUGAGGAUAUCCAUUACAGGGAUCCCAAAAAACUUGGACAACGACAUUGACAUCAUAGACAGGGCGUUUGGGUUUCAAACUGCAGUGGAGAGGAAGGGGCAUGCUGUCGUUGUUGUUGCUCAAGGCGCUGGUCAGGAGUUGAUUCCCCGGAUUGAUGACCAGAAGCGAGAGCAGGAUGAGUCUGGCAACAUGUUGUUCCUUAACGUUGGCCUUCUUCUAUAAAGUUUACAUGCAACUCACCUGCAUGGUUAAAAAAGCUACUACUAAUUUAAAUGUUCUGUUUCUUUGAAGAUUACUCAUUUCUCUUACCGUUGUUGCAUCGAAACAAUUGUAUUUUGGCCGCUUGCGCUCAUUUUAUAGGAGAUUGAGAUGUGGGAUAAGCUACUACCAAAUGUUUGGUUCCCAUCAAACCGGUUAUUUGCCAAUAAAAUAAAG
This 1566-nucleotide ribosomal RNA is filed under the name Triticum aestivum (bread wheat). RNAcentral's name for it is "partial small subunit ribosomal RNA". The record is from RNAcentral. Lineage: Eukaryota; Viridiplantae; Streptophyta; Magnoliopsida; Poales; Poaceae.